GACGAACGCUGGCGGCGUGCUUAACACAUGCAAGUCGAACGGAAAGGCCCCUUUGGGGGUACUCGAGUGGCGAACGGGUGAGUAACACGUGAGUAACCUGCCCUUGACUUCGGGAUAACUUCAGGAAACUGGGGCUAAUACCGGAUAGGAAUCCUUGCUGCAUGGUGGGGGUUGGAAAGCUUCGGCGGUUUUGGAUGGACUCGCGGCUUAUCAGGUUGUUGGUGGGGUAGUGGCUUACCAAGGCUUUGACGGGUAGCCGGCCUGAGAGGGCGACCGGCCACAUUGGGACUGAGAGACGGCCCAGACUCCUACGGGAGGCAGCAGUGGGGAAUAUUGCACAAUGGGCGGAAGCCUGAUGCAGCAACGCCGCGUGCGGGAUGACGGCCUUCGGGUUGUAAACCGCUUUCAGCAGGGGCGAAGCUUGUGGUGACGGUACCUGCAGAAGAAGCACCGGCUAACUACGUG
This 465-nucleotide ribosomal RNA is filed under the name uncultured bacterium. RNAcentral describes it as "partial 16S ribosomal RNA". It matches the Rfam family "Bacterial small subunit ribosomal RNA", at positions 28 to 507 of the family's 1533-position model. The record is from RNAcentral.